GAUGAACGCUGGCGGCGUGCCUAAUACAUGCAAGUCGAGCGAACAGACGAGGAGCUUGCUCCUCUGACGUUAGCGGCGGACGGGUGAGUAACACGUGGAUAACCUACCUAUAAGACUGGGAUAACUUCGGGAAACCGGAGCUAAUACCGGAUAAUAUAUUGAACCGCAUGGUUCAAUAGUGAAAGACGGUUUUGCUGUCACUUAUAGAUGGAUCCGCGCCGCAUUAGCUAGUUGGUAAGGUAACGGCUUACCAAGGCAACGAUGCGUAGCCGACCUGAGAGGGUGAUCGGCCACACUGGAACUGAGACACGGUCCAGACUCCUACGGGAGGCAGCAGUAGGGAAUCUUCCGCAAUGGGCGAAAGCCUGACGGAGCAACGCCGCGUGAGUGAUGAAGGUCUUCGGAUCGUAAAACUCUGUUAUUAGGGAAGAACAACUGUGUAAGUAACUAUGCACGUCUUGACGGUACCUAAUCAGAAAGCCCCGGCUAACUACGUG
Molecule: ribosomal RNA, 497 nt
Filed under: uncultured bacterium
Lineage: Bacteria
Description: partial 16S ribosomal RNA
Rfam family: Bacterial small subunit ribosomal RNA
Source: RNAcentral